Brachypodium distachyon (stiff brome) is the source of this 1241-nucleotide long non-coding RNA. RefSeq lists it as uncharacterized. Lineage: Eukaryota; Viridiplantae; Streptophyta; Magnoliopsida; Poales; Poaceae. The record is from RefSeq and is a predicted model, not a curated record. The transcript is spliced from 3 exons.
UGGACCAAGCCAGCCGCAAGCAAUCACCGCGGUGAUAUUAAUCUCAGGCUUUAGUUCGCUGAUUUACCACACGUCCGUAUGUGCAGCUUAUAGUUAGCUGACUGGGUGUGUACAGCAGGUCAAAGCACGAUCAAGAUCAAUCACGGGCUUUGUUUCGCAGCUUAACUUAGUCGGUUGUUAAUGUAUCGGCUAACCAGGCUUUCCGCUUGGUGCGUCUACUCAAUGCGGUAUCCGGCUUAUAAACCCGUCGGGUCGUUCUUCCGUAGGCCGUAUGGGACUAAACAAGAAAUACCUAUACGGUACUCCGUACAAAAUACUGUAGCCGUCCGUAGGAAUCCUGCGCCGUCAAAUUGUCAAAAUCCUCGUGCCCCGCCUCGCAGGCCUCGCCCAGCCGCAGCCGGCAGCCCCGUCCCACCCGCGCUGCCUUGCCAGGCCCCGUCCCUCCCGCCAUGGAUCUCGCUGCACCACGCCACCACCCAACCGGCCAACCGUCGACCGCAUCUCCUUGGCCUUGGCCCUCCAUCUCGUGCAGCGACCGCCGUCAAGACCGACCGCCCCUUUCCCAACCAGCGGCUCUCCCGGCUGUCCUGUUCCCUUCCCCUGCAUCUCCUCCUGGCUCCCGCUGCUCCUUUCCUGAAACCCCCAACAGCAGGAGCAUUGUUUGUGAAGGCAAAGUUUGAACCAUUGAGCUGAUCGAUGAAUGAGGUGUGGCUGGAUGGAGGAAGUAGCCUGUGAAGAGUUCGGUAUAGGAGACCCACAUCUUGAAGAUAUUAUCGGAGACAUUGAUCAGGACAAUGACGGCUGAAUCGACUACAAUGAAUUCGUAACGAUACAUGAUAUUAUUUUAGACAAACCGGCACAGCCUAAUCGCUGAACUGCCACAGUUUUCAAGUGGAAAACAAGACAAGACGGAAAAAAGACUCGAUUGAGCGAUACAUAAACCAUCCGGACCGGUGGAAACCACCCCGGACUGGUGCAUUAGACUAAACUUAGUCCAACAUAACUGCGAAAACACAUGUAUCGUUCAUAAAUCAAUCGAGUCCGGUUGAAAAAGUCAUGUUGAAACAUUUUUUACUAUAUUCCGUACAUAAAUCAAUGUUACAUAUUUUUUUACCAAAUGAGCCCCUAGUUUUGCCCCAAGUAAAAAAAUAGUUUGGCCAAAUUUAGAAAAAAAAACUACCAAAAUCUACAACUAUAAAUUAGUUCUGUUAAAUCUGCCAUGAUAUAUAUUUUAUAAUAUA